Dermochelys coriacea (leatherback sea turtle) is the source of this 456-nucleotide long non-coding RNA. RefSeq lists it as uncharacterized. The record is from RefSeq and is a predicted model, not a curated record. Lineage: Eukaryota; Metazoa; Chordata; Testudines; Dermochelyidae. The transcript has 3 exons.
UUCUUUCUCUGCGCCCCUCUCCCCCUCCCCCCGCAAAUUCGUUGGUGGAUUAGUAGAUAGAAGAAAAUAUAAUAAUUAACUUUUUCUUGUAGAAGAGCAGCAUCAUUUUUGCUUGAAUUCCUUCUCGCUUACGCUACGUCUUCCUGAAUGUAGUAACACUGAUGUCUACUAAGACAAGUAGAACAUACACAGAAAGGCAAUGGAGCAAAACCAGGCAUCCAUUCUAUUUCAGGUAUCUUAAGUGGCUCGUCGAAGUUAACACAGGCAUAAGCAGCCGUGUUGUAAGACUGGAAAGCUGCAUCCUGCAAGCUGAGCAAAUCAUUCUUAAGGGAUUUGAGGACUAAGCAAAAUCUUCUAUAGGACACCCCUUUUCAUGAGGAUAUCUUCAAGCUUCACGUACUGGUAUGAAGAUAAUGCAAAAAUAUGUUCACUAGUAGACCCUCUUCAGUACAGGUA